UACCAUAUGAUUUUUAAGGUGGGAUACAUAUGAGAGCUUGAAAAGAAGGGACAUUACAGAUUUGGAAUCACACAAAUAGAACAACAACAGUUCAGGAUCAGCUGCCUACCGCUGUCAGUGGUGUCGUCCAGAUUUGGUUUAUUUAUUUGGAGUAAAGUAGAAAAAACAAACAUACAAGAUGGACGCCAUCAAGAAAAAGAUGCAGGCGAUGAAAAUGGAGAAGGAUAGCGCCAUGGAUAAGGCCGACACUUGUGAAGGCCAGGCCAAGGACGCAAAUCUUCGCGCAGAUAAGGUUAAUGAAGAUGUAAGAGAAUGUCAGAAGAAACUGACUCAAGUAGAAAGCGAUCUGGAAACAAACAAAAAGAAGUUGGAGGAAGCUAUUAAGAACUUGGAAGAAAGAGAAAAAUCAUUGACAACUGCUGAAAGUGAAGUCGCUGCCUUAAACAGAAAAGUUCAGAUGAUUGAAGAAGAUCUCGAAAGAUCUGAAGAAAGGUCUCAAGCAGCUGCAUCUAAAUUAGCUGAAGCUUCUCAAGCAGCUGAUGAAUCUCAACGUAUGUGCAAAGUAUUGGAAAAUCGUAGUCAACAAGAUGAAGAACGUAUGGAUCAAUUGACUAACCAAUUGAAAGAAGCUAGACUUUUGGCUGAAGAUGCUGAUGGAAAAUCAGACGAGGUUUCAAGAAAAUUGGCAUUUGUUGAAGAUGAACUUGAAGUAGCUGAAGACCGAGUGAAAUCUGGAGAUUCAAAAAUUAUGGAACUGGAAGAGGAACUCAAAGUUGUCGGAAACAGUUUGAAAUCUUUGGAAGUUUCCGAAGAGAAGGCUAAUCAAAGAGUAGAAGAAUAUAAGCGACAAAUAAAACAAUUAACUGUAAAAUUGAAGGAGGCUGAAGCCCGUGCUGAAUAUGCUGAGAAGACAGUUAAAAAAUUGCAGAAAGAAGUUGAUAGACUUGAAGAUGAUCUCUUCAAAGAGAAAGAAAAAUCUAAAGAAGUUACAGAUGAUUUGGAUUCUACAUUUGCUGAACUUACAGGCUACUAACCAAAUAUGAUUAUCUAACCAUAUUUAUCUUUUUUUAUACACCGAGAUAUGUUUAAUCACAAAGUAGCUUUUGUAAUAUAAUAGUAAUAAUGCUUUUUUAAUUUUAAUUUGUAUUAUUUUAUUAAGCUUUCUUCAUUUAAUUGUUAUUUGUCUUCAGUUGUCGCUGUAAAAAUUGCUUCUCUAAUACCAGACGAACUCGGCCUCAACAAAGACCGAUACAAGUCUUUGGCUGAUGAAAUGGACUCCACAUUUGCUGAAUUGGCUGGAUAUUAAAUUUGUAGACUUACUUGUUAAUUUGGUCUACGCCUCUAAUGAAUUAUAUUACUAUCUACAAAAGUUUUAUCAAAAUAUUACAUAUACAAUAAAAUACAUAAUAUUACCAUCAACAAUAUUGUUAAUAAACCAAAAUGUUUUACAAAAUAAUAAAUUGAUUGUUAAAUUGUUUA
RNA transcript from Daktulosphaira vitifoliae (grape phylloxera), 1479 nucleotides. It is a transcript of the gene named tropomyosin-1, with no coding region annotated. Lineage: Eukaryota; Metazoa; Arthropoda; Insecta; Hemiptera; Phylloxeridae. The record is from RefSeq and is a predicted model, not a curated record. The transcript has 11 exons.